Molecule: ribosomal RNA, 406 nt
Filed under: uncultured bacterium
Lineage: Bacteria
Description: partial 16S ribosomal RNA
Rfam family: Bacterial small subunit ribosomal RNA
Source: RNAcentral
AUUGAACGCUGGCGGCAGGCCUAACACAUGCAAGUAGAACGAGUGGCGGACGGGUGAGUAAUGUCUGGGCAACUGCCUGAUGGAGGGGGAUAACUACUGGAAACGGUAGCUAAUACCGCAUACCAUCGGAUGUGCCCAGAUGGGAUUAGCUAGUAGGUGGGGUAAAGGCUCACCUAGGCGACGAUCCCUAGCUGGUCUGAGAGGAUGACCAGCCAAACCGGAACUGAGACACGGUCCAGACUCCUACGGGAGGCAGCAGUGGGGAAUAUUGCACAAUGGGCGCAAGCCUGAUGCAGCCAGGCCGCGUGGAUGAAGAAGGCAUUAGGGUUGUAAAGUACUUUCAGCGGGGAGGCGUUACCCGCAGAAGAAGCACCGGCUAACUCCGUGCCAGCAGCCGCGGUAAUUC